Molecule: ribosomal RNA, 460 nt
Filed under: uncultured bacterium
Lineage: Bacteria
Description: partial 16S ribosomal RNA
Rfam family: Bacterial small subunit ribosomal RNA
Source: RNAcentral
CCUACGGGUGGCAGCAGUGAGGAAUAUUGGUCAAUGGACGCAAGUCUGAACCAGCCAUGCCGCGUGCAGGAAGACGGUUCCAUGCGUUGUAAACUGCUUUUGUACGAGGAUAAAAUCAGACUCGCGUACCUGUCUGAGAGUAAUGUACGAAAAAGGAUCGGCUAACUCCGUGCCAGCAGCCGCGGUAAUACGGAGGAUUCAAGCGUUAUCCGGCUUUAUUGGGUUUAAAGGGUGCGUAGGCGGGCGGUUAAGUUAGAGGUGAAAACCCUAGGCUCAACUUCGGAAUUGCCUUUGAUACUGUUCGGCUAGAGAGUAGUUGCGGUAGGCGGAAUGUAUGGUGUAGCGGUGAAAUGCUUAGAGAUCGUACAGAACACCGAUUGCGAAGGCAGCAUACCAGGCUACUUCUGACGUUGAGGCACGAAAGCGUGGGGAGCGAACAGGAUUAGAUACCCGAGUAGUC